UUUUGUCAAACCUUGUUUGAGCAUGUUGAACUUAUGAUGAUCCAAUUGGACUUUUCCAAGUUGAUUUGAAUUGGAUUUGAAGUUUGGCCUUUAUUUGUUUAUUUUAAUUCAAGUAUUAUUUUAAUUCCAAAAAUACCAAAAAUAUUUUUAUUGUUUCUUGACUUCUAAGCUUCAUCUCACUUCUGUUUACCAUUGAUUAAUGUUGAUUCCAUUCAUGUUGGAUCAAUGUGUGUUGGUUAUGUCAUUUUGAAUUUCAAUUGUGUACAUUCCAUUUCUUCUUCU
Molecule: long non-coding RNA, 282 nt
Filed under: Lathyrus oleraceus (garden pea)
Lineage: Eukaryota; Viridiplantae; Streptophyta; Magnoliopsida; Fabales; Fabaceae
Description: Pisum sativum (pea) long non-coding RNA (PSAT_LNC030124)
Source: RNAcentral